This 448-nucleotide ribosomal RNA is filed under the name uncultured bacterium. RNAcentral's name for it is "bacterial SSU rRNA". It matches the Rfam family "Bacterial small subunit ribosomal RNA", at positions 328 to 793 of the family's 1533-position model. The record is from RNAcentral.
CGUCCAGACUCCUACGGGAGGCAGCAGUGGGGGAUAUUGCACAAUGGGGGAAACCCUGAUGCAGCGACGCCGCGUGAGUGAAGAAGUCAUUCGUUACGUAAAGCUCUAUCAGCAGGGAAGAAAAUGACGGUACCUGACUAAGAAGCCCCGGCUAACUACGUGCCAGCAGCCGCGGUAAUACGUAGGGGGCAAGCGUUAUCCGGAAUUACUGGGUGUAAAGGGAGCGCAGACGGCAGUGCAAGUCUGGAGUGAAAGCCCGUGGCUUAACCACGGGACUGCUCUGGAAACUGUGCAGCUAGAGUGCAGGAGAGGCAGGCGGAAUUCCUAGUGUAGCGGUGAAAUGCGUAGAUAUUAGGAGGAACACCGGUGGCGAAGGCGGCUUACUGGACUGUAACUGACGUUGAGGCUCGAAAGCGUGGGGAGCAAACAGGAUUAGAUACCCCGGUAA